Molecule: long non-coding RNA, 6598 nt
Organism: Athene cunicularia (burrowing owl)
Lineage: Eukaryota; Metazoa; Chordata; Aves; Strigiformes; Strigidae
Exons: 4
Source: RefSeq, a predicted model, not a curated record
CCCAGCAGCCCGAAGCCCAAACCAGCCGCAGCUCCAGGGAUGCCUUAGACACCAGGGAGGAGCGUUCACCCACAUUCACCCUACAUGAUGCUCUGCUCAUUUUCUGGCUGGCAAAUCGCGGGUCUCUGGCCCUGGUGAAAGUUCGCGGGGAAUUUCCUGAUCUGCUCACUAUAACGUGAACCCAGGAGCGGGGGCUAUAUGGGAAAAAAAUCCCACCUCCAAAAGCCAUGAGAGCCUGGCCACGAAGGAGCUGCCAGCAGGACCUGUCUUGUGGGACCCUCAGCAGAAGCCCCUCGCCAUGGCUGAUCCUGCAUGCGCCACCCUCCUCCUCCUCUUCCUUCUCCUGCCAGCAGACCCUGGCCUGGAACACAACGUAGAUUGAGAUUUGCACCAGCAUCCAUCCAGGCUGCUCAGGGCUGCCGGCCAGCACGCGCCUUCAGCGUGGGGACACCAGCUCGGCUUUGGGGACGGAUGGGGUGGAGAGGACACCGGGACGUCCCCGUCCCGCCACUGCGCAUCGCCCUGGGGGCAGCUCGAUGCCUGAUGUUGCCUGGUUGGUUGUGGGUGUGAAGGGACCUCCUGCACGUCUGUCCCGCUUCUUCUGGGAGUCUCUGUGGGGUGAACCCUCCCUGCUCGGUGGAUCCCGCUGUCCUGUUUUGCAUGGGAACGCAGGGAUGGCAGCGAUGGAGCCUGGUCCGGCCCCAGCCAUCGCCGGGCAAAACCUUGUGGGACAAGCUGAACUGAGUCGUUGCUGCCAUCGGCUCUAGAUGCAAAAUGUUCCCGGCCUUGAGCCACAGAGAGGAAAAAGGAGCAAAAGGGCCUUUUCUCUGAAGAACAGAAGAAGGAGGAAACGUCCCACCUCCAGCCCAGGAGCCGUUUCUCCCCGAUCCUGGGCACCAUCAGCGUUGCUGAGGGACCACGGUCACGGUGCGACGGACAACUCCAGUGCCCGGGUGCUGGAUGCUCAGGCAGCAUUUUGGGCAGAAAACAGGGAUGCUGUGGCACGAAGGAGAUGCGUUUUAGGGGACAGGAAAAAGGUGAGGGGGCUGGUAGGUGCAAUGCCACCACCUCUCCCUUGUGCCACCACCGUCCCCAUGCCCAGGGAUGCCCACCAGCACCCCGCAAGCACUCGGGCUGUGGGAGCAGAGAAGAGGGCAGCAUCCGUCCCCUUUUUGUCGCCGCCGUGUAAUUUAUGAUAUGAGAGAGGGCCAUUGUCUGGACCCAUCCUGUAUUUUUCCGAGGGCUUUGCCUCUCUUCCCAGACCCCCGCUGUGCUCCUGCUACUGUACCGUUGCUAUGGGACGUGCUCCCCGCGCCGCGGCUAUGCGGGGCAGUGCCGGGGAGGGCUGCCCGCCGCGGCCGGACCCAUCUGGAGCCCCGAGCCCUGCUGCCGGCAGCCCAGUCGCUCGGCGGCCCCGCUGACGUGCCGAGGGCCUGGGAAUGGGGCUUUCGGCCCCUCCAAGUUCACGGCCACCGGAGGCAUUCAGCUGCCGGAGUGGGGGGGCAGCGGGAUCUGGGGCAUUUGGCUCCAUUCUCCCUUCCCUUUCAGUGCCGGCAGUGUCCUCGGCGCAUACAGAUCCCCCGUCCCUUUCUCCUCCUGACAAGUGCGCACAUAAAUAAAUUACCCCACCGGGCGAGUGUGGAACAAUCUGUCCCCUAAAUUCUAUUCAUCGCCAGACAGGACCCAUUAUUCCCCCGAUUAAAGCCGCUGGAGUAGCUUGCAAGGGUUACAGUUACUCUGUCAAACUGUAAAUAAGACACUAAAAAUAAAGGGCGCUGGCGAGAGAAGGGGGAAAGGGAAGCCAGACUAAUGCCUGCUGCUAGGGAAACCGAAUGAAUCCCUAAUGACGCCUGUGUACAAACUGCAAAUAAUGAAGGAAAAGUGACAAACAGACCUCGGCCGGGCUGCGGCGGGGUCCUCGCUCCGCGGCGGCGCUGGGGAUCUGCUCGCCCCUUCCUCUGGAGAGAGUCAGCAGGGAGCGGGACCCCCUUCCCGCAGCCCUCCGAGAAGAGCAUCUAAGCCCUUGUUGCUUAACUUAUGGAAAGGUUUAGGUCUUGGGGAUGUGUUUAUUUUCCAGGCACAGAAGUCUGCUCCAGCCUGCAUCCCUUUUUGAGGUCGUACAGGGAAACCCUCUGUCACCUGUGGCCUCAGGGCAGCGAGCGAAGAAGCAGCCCCCAAAAACUUUAGUUUGUGCUCUGUUGCUGGGAGCAGUGCAGGGGCCUCUGAUGUAGGACAGAGCUAGAACCAGGCUGGAGUUUAAGUCUGCCUGCCCAGAGCCUGUCCUGCAGCAGCAGUAGGUUAUUGGAGACCCAGAGCUCAGACCUGGGUCUGCUCCUUGGUGCUGCCUGUGCCCAUGAUAGAUUGCAGGGAGGAACAUCUCCAGGCCUGGAGAGCUUUGUUAUCUUUGGAUAAAAUCCAAUUCCUUUUUUGCUGCUCUUCUACCAGCCAACAAAGACGGGGAUGUUCACCUCGCAGUGGAUCCUUCUUUUCCUCCUUCUGUACCUUAGAGCUGAAGAGGCAAAGCAAAAAAUUCUUUGUGAUGGGCUCAUCUUGGGUUUUUCUCAGUUCCGGAGGGGCUGAGCUGUGCGAGUUUGAUUUCAGGUCCAGCUCGAUCUAUUCCCAUCACCUGCAAGGGGCUAAAUGCUGGAAUGCUCCCUGUGUUGCUCAGGGAAAUAUUAUUUUGAUUCAUAUUAUGCAAGCGUGCAAAAGAUUCCGCAAAGAGAGCUCGGAGCUGGCCCUCUCCGGGCGGAUGCUCCCUCUCUAAAGGAGAACCCCAAGGGGGGGGGGGCAUGCAGUACUGGGGACACAGCAGAUGUGUCACUGGGCUGGAAACUGAGCUCUCAUCCCCCGGGUCUGUGCGGAUGCCACACUGCACAUCCAUCCUCCUGCACAGCCCAGCAGUGCUGGGGUGAUUCUGGGACUUUAAUCUGAAAAAAAAACCCGAAACAAAACAGCAAGGAAGGGCAUAACCCAGAGCAGGGGAGCAAUGAGGUGCCAAGCCCUGCCCUGCGGCGUGGGUGCUGCUGAGCUUGGCACUCGCCCCUUCUCCCACCCGCAGCAAAAUCGCGAGGGUCCUUGCGCGGGUCGAGAGGUUUUUAGAGCUGUGCUCUGGUUUGGUGCUUUCACAAAGCUCAGACAUCUUAAAAGGGAUUUUUCAGGAUGGCUGAACUAGCGUGGAGCCCAGUUGCAUUUCCCAGUCAGGUCAAACCUGGGUUUAGCAGAUUUCUUCCCUUUCCGUCUUAGGGAAAAAAAAAUAAAAAUACCCUUUUCACCCCCAGUUCCUGGCUGUGAAGCCUCAUGACUCCACAGCAGCAUUCCUGGGACGUUCCCGACGCGGGGUGGUAUGUGCAGAAUUUCAAACAGUGGCACAUAGCUCCACAUCUCCCCUGCGCUCCCCCAGCUGCACUCAGUCAUCUGGGAGAAACUCCAGGAAUUAUUGUUACUCCUAGUAGUAGUGAUGUCUGGGUAGCACCCGUAGACCCGGGUAGGUGUGUGUAGGUGGUGAUGAAGGAAGAUAUGUGCUCCUGUCUCCCCCUCCGCCUCCAAAAUUUACCAGUUGAGUUGGAAAAAGAGAGCAAUUGGGAAAAAAUGUCUUGUAACCAGCCAGGGUUGAGCAAGUCAAACCCAAAGUUGGGUUGUCCCGGUGCUCCCCUGUCACACAAAUAGGCAGCUCGUCACGAAACCUGCUCCCUGGAGGUUGCCUUUGAGGAGUGAUGGGCUUAGAGCCCCCAGUCUCAUCCUGGGAGAGGGUUCUGCUCCCUUGAGCUUCACUCCCUUGCUGGGAAUGGCUUUGCUUGAGGACCUGGGUCCUGGGAGCAGCUUCAGUUCCAGGAUACACUCAGGAGUAUUCAUCUCCCCUCGAGACAACAUCGAGAACAGCAAAACUUAAUAAAAAUUAACUUACUUGCCUGUCCCCGCCUGAAUCUCUUGGCUCAUGGUUUUCAAGGUUUCUCUCAACCUGUAAAAAUAUGCUUAUUGCUAUUUUUUAAAAAUGAAAGCUAUGAUUCCCCUCCACGUUCAUCACCUGGCUCCAGAAACUGGAGAUUUAACGUGGUGUUUCAUGAGACUGGCAGUUGUUGGCCCUCGAGCAAAGCACAUCCUGACCAGCUUUGCCCUACAGCCGCCUGGAGAGACGAGGAAAAUCAGACAGUCCUUGAUAUUAAAUAUCUUUAUAUCAGUUCUGAGAAGUUCCCGUGCCUACCUGUCACUCUUUUUUUUUCCUCAAAAUGCCUGAAUGUAAUUUUUUUUUUUUUUUUGGUCUAUCUAUGGAUGUAAUCUAGCUGUGCCCAUAAAGCACGGGCUGGCAGCUCGCUCUUCUCUUACCUGGGCAUUCAGAGAUUGCUCAGCAAGGCCCCAAGGAGGGCUUGUGGAGGGCGAGUUCCAGUGACACCACCGCCAGUCCCCUUUCCCUUUCCAAGGAUUAGGACGGGGCAAAUACCUUCACUUUGGUUUAGCUCUAAAUACCGGAUUCGGAAGGUGUUUGCUGGCACGGCGUGCACACAUGCUUGCGAUAAUAGCCAGGUAGCUUGCAUGGCUAAAUCACUUGAUUUUAUUUUUUUUUAAAUUUUUUUUUUCAUUAUAACCUCCUUUUAAAGCACGUUUAAAUGCUUCCCCGCAGGCUCAUGCGAGGGCUGUUAAGGGCUUCAUUUGAAUAAAUAAGUGCAUAGGUACGGGAGGAACAUCACCACAACCCCCUGGAACCCCCAGCGCCAGAGAUGGCAUCAGAGAACUGGCAAGUGGGAGAAGGGGCUCGAUGUUAUAUAUUCCAUAAAGUAGAGUAAUUAAGUAUUACUAGUUUUGAUGACUUCAAACAGAGUGACUCCAGGAAAUAAGCCCCUUCUUUAUAAUUAGUGGGAUUUCCUCUGCAUCAAACGGAGAGAUUGAUUCUUUAAUCUGCUCACAUGCUUUUGAUUUGGUCUUUCAGCUGCUUGUACCAACUGCUUCUACUCCCUGCUCUUGCCGAUAAAACCUUGCAAAGGAGAUUUGAGGAAGGCAUGACCUGAGUUGAGGUCUAGGAUUUUCUUUGUGUGUGGCUGUUUUGUGUAUUCUUAAUUUGCCCGAGAUGAUGAUCGCGAUGAUAGCAAUAAUAAAAAAUAACAGACGCAGAUUUUUUAUUUUUUUUUUUUAACAACCCCAUAUGUUUAGGUCAAAUAACUGGGGGGAUGUGUGGAUUUCUGUUAUUGCUUUCUCUUCCCAGCACGCUCGUUAGCUCUGGUGCAUGUUCUUUAAGACCCGCAAAGAUCAUUUUGGCUACCUGUCCGCAAUAACCCUGAGCUGUCCCAAGUGGAGCUUACUGCAAAACCUUGCACAAACCUAACGUUGGGCUCUCGGCAUUUUGAGGACUCGGUUAAAAUACGGACGGGAUUUCUGAAGGACUUGGGAUGCCUGGAGGGAAGAGGCCCCUUUUCUAGAGUAUUUCAAGGAUUUAGGACUAAACCCAGGAACUUUGGAAGCCCAAACGUUGCUGCUUUCCAAAUGAAGAGCUCAGGAGGGAGCAGGAACUUGCCCCCCUGCAAGUGCAAGAAGCUGAUGGUGAGGAACCAGCUUCUCCCUGGGCGUCUUCGCGGGGCUGGUGGCACCGUGUCAGUCGUAGGGGAAAUGUAGUCUGGGGUCUGUGCCGGUCCCAGGCACAGCCUGAACCUGCUCUGUGCUACCCCCAACCUCCAAAACAGCCCAGAUCUUGAGUCAUCCCAGGAAACAGCCCCUGGGUUGGAUUUCUUUCUUGGGUGUGAGGUUCUUCUGGGACCUCUGAGGAGGGGGAAAAAGGGGGAAAUCUGGGACUACGUUGUCUCCCAUCCACCUUUUGGUCUUGUUGGAAACGUGCAACACGAGCAAGAGAGAGGCUCAGGGUGUUGCACCUCAACUGAAUCCCUUUGGGUGAAACCCAGAGGACGACGGCUCUGCAGGGGGGCUUUGAGGUAGCUGUAGGGCAGGAACUGGUACCCCAACCCCAACCCCUCUGUUCUGGGGCCAGCAUCCUCCUCGGCGUGCGUCUCGCACGCAAACGGGGUGGGGAGGGCAAGCACGGGGCUGUGUCCACUGCGAUUUGGGGGUCACAAGCCUGCCGGGAGGAGCUGUGGGAAGGGGGUCGUCCCUGAGCUCACCUGGAGCCAGGAUCAGGCCCGGGGCGUGGGGGAUAACUGGCGAGGAGCUGGUUUAGUAUGCCCCUCGCAAGCCUCGCCUCGUCUGGAGCGGUGUCGAACACAGAUCGUAUAAUUAGAGACCCGGUGAAUACGUAACUGUACAAUUAUGCAAAUAGUGAUCAAAAUCACUGUUUUCAGCAGAAAUGCCUGAAGAUCAAGACAGAAGCUUCAUGCAACCUUAAUUUAAUCUGGUCCUGCAGGAGUGGGGAGGUCUGAUGGAUGACCCAACCUCGCGCCUGCCUGUGUUUUUAGCGAGGCUGGGGUGGGAGGCGGGGGAGAGGAGCGCCGGAGCAUGCUAAGCGAGGGCUCCGCGCGGCCAGCGAGAGGGAAAAACGGCACCGGGAUCAUGUUCGCAUGUUGGCAAACCGGGAAAAAAAGAGCAGAAAUGGAAGUGCUGAUGUUUACAGCGAUUCUCUUUUUCUUUUGAUUUCAGGUGAAUAACACAAGGCUGGAAG